GCUGGGUGUGGUGGUGCACACCUGUAAUCCCAGCUACUCAGGAGGCUGAGGCAGGAGAAUUGCUUGAACCCAGGGUGGUGGAGGCUGCAGUGAGCCAAGAUUGCACCACUGCACUCCAGCCUGGGUGACAGAGCAAGAUACUGUUUUAA
RNAcentral lists this non-coding RNA (149 nucleotides) under Pan troglodytes (chimpanzee). Lineage: Eukaryota; Metazoa; Chordata; Mammalia; Primates; Hominidae. The record is from Rfam by way of RNAcentral.